GGUUUCCGUAGGUGAACCUGCGGAAGGA
Molecule: non-coding RNA, 28 nt
Filed under: Drosophila erecta
Lineage: Eukaryota; Metazoa; Arthropoda; Insecta; Diptera; Drosophilidae
Also listed under: 6 other names
Source: RNAcentral